Molecule: ribosomal RNA, 274 nt
Filed under: uncultured bacterium
Lineage: Bacteria
Description: partial 16S ribosomal RNA
Rfam family: Bacterial small subunit ribosomal RNA
Source: RNAcentral
AUACGGAGGGAGCUAGCGUUGUUCGGAAUUACUGGGCGUAAAGCGCGCGUAGGCGGACUGGUCAGUUGGGGGUGAAAUCCCAGGGCUUAACCCUGGAACUGCCUUCAAUACUGCCAGUCUUGAGAUCGGGAGAGGUGAGCGGAAUUCCUAGUGUAGAGGUGAAAUUCGUAGAUAUUAGGAAGAACACCAGUGGCGAAGGCGGCUCACUGGCCCGAUACUGACGCUGAGGCGCGAAAGCGUGGGGAGCAAACAGGAUUAGAAACCCCAGUAGUCC